UGUGCAUCAAUUUAUAUGGGGCAAUUUUAUUUAUUUCACUUGUUUUAAGUCGGUCUACUCUGCAUGAAGAGUACCAGUAACAUUAGUAUAAUGUCUUCUUUGUCCCUUCGUCUGUAGUCCGACCCUGAUGAUCUCAUGGUGAUGUCAUCAAGGUUAUCUCGCUUUGGGCUUGAAGGGAGAAAUUCUUAACUUAAACUGCAUUACAAAACUGGAGGUGUGACGUUUGAAUGUGGAUGUUUACCAGUUUAUUUGAUCUGUCUCUGCAGAUCCAACUUCCUUCUGAAUGUGACGGACUGAAUCCCUUUGAUUCCAACACCAGUGAGACACUGUUGCCAUGACACCCAAUGCCCGUAAGUGAUGCAAGUGUUCCAGGUGCAGAGAGAAAGUGGACAAUCAGUCAAAUUACCUUUAUGAGCUGUCCCCACCUGAGGGGGGGGUGGACCAGUACACUUUCAGGUAUGGGUUAGUGGAUUAGUGUGUGCAAUCAGUGGCUGUGAACAAACCACUGGGCAGGGAUUUUAAGAAUCAGUCCUCUGAUAAAUGUUAGCCGCAACAUCUCAGCGGUCAUUAUGUUCACUGAGAUCUUUAUCCGUGUUGCACUAGUAUUUCUUGUACUGCUCUCUGCAGAGAAACUCCUUAGUGUUCAGGAUGUAAAAUGUAGUCUUCAGCUGUGUAGUUCCAUAUUUAGAGCGAACAUGGCUGCAGUGGUGAUCAUCUCCAUUAAAGUGAAGCGAGGCUUUCAUUUCCAUUACAGAUUCUGAUCUUUCCUGCCUUCACCACUGUUACAUAAAACUACACAAGC
Gasterosteus aculeatus aculeatus (three-spined stickleback) is the source of this 802-nucleotide long non-coding RNA. The record is from Ensembl. NCBI's taxonomy places the organism in Eukaryota, Metazoa, Chordata, Actinopteri, Perciformes, Gasterosteidae.